This 600-nucleotide ribosomal RNA is filed under the name uncultured bacterium. RNAcentral's name for it is "bacterial SSU rRNA". It matches the Rfam family "Bacterial small subunit ribosomal RNA", at positions 739 to 1343 of the family's 1533-position model. The record is from RNAcentral.
ACUGACGCUAAAGCUCGAAGGUGCGGGUAUCGAACAGGAUUAGAUACCCUGGUAGUCCGCACGGUAAACGAUGGAUGCCCGCUGUUUGCGAUACAAUGUAAGCGGCCAAGCGAAAGCGUUAAGCAUCCCACCUGGGGAGUACGCCGGCAACGGUGAAACUCAAAGGAAUUGACGGGGGCCCGCACAAGCGGAGGAACAUGUGGUUUAAUUCGAUGAUACGCGAGGAACCUUACCCGGGCUUGAACUGUAGUGGAAGGAUACAGAGAUGUUGACGCCCUUCGGGGCCGCUGUGGAGGUGCUGCAUGGUUGUCGUCAGCUCGUGCCGUGAGGUGUCGGCUUAAGUGCCAUAACGAGCGCAACCCCUGCCGACAGUUGCCAUCGCGUGAUGGCGGGCACUCUGUCGGGACUGCCACCGCAAGGUGUGAGGAAGGUGGGGAUGACGUCAAAUCAGCACGGCCCUUACGUCCGGGGCUACACACGUGUUACAAUGGGUGGUACAGAGGGCAGGCGUCCGGCAACGUCCGUCUAAUCCCGAAAGCCAUCCUCAGUUCGGACUGGGGUCUGCAACCCGACCCCACGAAGCUGGAUUCGCUAGUAAUC